CCUACGGGAGGCAGCAGUAGGGAACUUUCGUCAAUGGGCGCAAGCCUGAACGAGCAAUGCCGCGUGAACGAGGAAGGUCUUCGGAUCGUAAAGUUCUGUUGAAGGGGAAAAAGAGCGGAGAGAGGAAAUGAACUCCGAUUGAUAUUACCCUUCGGGGAAGUCACGGCUAACUACGGGCCAGCAGCCGCGGGAAUACGGAGGUGGCGAGCGUUAUCCGGAAUGAUUGGGGGUAAAGGGUGCGUAGGCGGCCUGCUAAGGCUGGAGUGAAAGGUACCG
RNAcentral lists this ribosomal RNA (276 nucleotides) under uncultured bacterium. RNAcentral's name for it is "partial 16S ribosomal RNA". It matches the Rfam family "Bacterial small subunit ribosomal RNA", at positions 338 to 606 of the family's 1533-position model. The record is from RNAcentral.